This 77-nucleotide transfer RNA is filed under the name Candidatus Saccharimonadota bacterium. RNAcentral describes it as "Candidatus Saccharibacteria bacterium tRNA-Val". It matches the Rfam family "tRNA". From Rfam's summary of the family: Transfer RNA (tRNA) molecules are approximately 80 nucleotides in length. Their secondary structure includes four short double-helical elements and three loops (D, anti-codon, and T loops). The record is from RNAcentral. Lineage: Bacteria; Candidatus Saccharimonadota.
GGAUGGUUAGCUCAUUUGGCUAGAGCGCCUGAUUGACGUUCAGGAGGUGGCAGGUUCGAAUCCUGCACCGUCCACCA